Non-coding RNA from Gossypium hirsutum (cotton), 107 nucleotides. The record is from Rfam. NCBI's taxonomy places the organism in Eukaryota, Viridiplantae, Streptophyta, Magnoliopsida, Malvales, Malvaceae.
AUUCCGUGAUGAGGGCACUUCUAUAAUAAUUCUUUGUACCUUUCCAACGCCUAAUACGAGGACUCAUCAUCCAUUUGUUAGAAAGCAGUGAUACAGGUUAGCAGUCU